CGAGUAGACCAUGUGGCGGCGCGCGAGGCUCGAAAGGGCCCGCGUGAGGAAAGUCCGGGCUCCAUCGGGCAAGGGUAACUGCUAACGGCAGCCGAAGGCGACUUUAGGGAAAGUGCAACAGAAAGAAACCGCCGGGGUCCCCCCCGGCAAGGGUGGAAAGGCGAGGUAAGAGCUCACCAGCGCACAGGAGACUGUGCGGCUCUGUAAACCCUACCCGGAGCAACACCGCACAGAGGGCAGAUGGGCGCCCGACCCGUCCUCGACAAGGUGGCUAGAGCUGCGCGGCGACGCGCAGUCGAGAUAGAUCGUCACACAUGACAGAACCCGGCUUAUGGUUUAGUCGCUUG
RNAcentral lists this RNase P RNA (347 nucleotides) under Acetanaerobacterium sp. MSJ-12. RNAcentral describes it as "RNase P RNA component class A". It matches the Rfam family "Bacterial RNase P class A". From Rfam's summary of the family: Ribonuclease P (RNase P) is a ubiquitous endoribonuclease, found in archaea, bacteria and eukarya as well as chloroplasts and mitochondria. Its best characterised activity is the generation of mature 5'-ends of tRNAs by cleaving the 5'-leader elements of precursor-tRNAs. Cellular RNase Ps are ribonucleoproteins. The record is from RNAcentral. Lineage: Bacteria; Bacillati; Bacillota; Clostridia; Eubacteriales; Oscillospiraceae.